GAUGAACGCUGGCGGCGUGCCUAAUACAUGCAAGUCGAGCGAACGGACGAGAAGCUUGCUUCUCUGAUGUUAGCGGCGGACGGGUGAGUAACACGUGGAUAACCUACCUAUAAGACUGGGAUAACUUCGGGAAACCGGAGCUAAUACCGGAUAAUAUUUUGAACCGCAUGGUUCAAAAGCGAAAGACGGUCUUGCUGUCACUUAUAGAUGGAUCCGCGCUGCAUUAGCUAGUUGGUAAGGUAACGGCUUACCAAGGCAACGAUGCAUAGCCGACCUGAGAGGGUGAUCGGCCACACUGGAACUGAGACACGGUCCAGACUCCUACGGGAGGCAGCAGUAGGGAAUCUUCCGCAAUGGGCGAAAGCCUGACGGAGCAACGCCGCGUGAGUGAUGAAGGUCUUCGGAUCGUAAAACUCUGUUAUUAGGGAAGAACAUAUGUGUAAGUAACUGUGCACAUCUUGACGGUACCUAAUCAGAAAGCCACGGCUAACUACGUGCCAGCAGCCGCGGUAAUACGUAGGUGGCAAGCGUUAUCCGGAAUUAUUGGGCGUAAAGCGCGCGUAGGCGGUUUUUUAAGUCUGAUGUGAAAGCCCACGGCUCAACCGUGGAGGGUCAUUGGAAACUGGAAAACUUGAGUGCAGAAGAGGAAAGUGGAAUUCCAUGUGUAGCGGUGAAAUGCGCAGAGAUAUGGAGGAACACCAGUGGCGAAGGCGACUUUCUGGUCUGUAACUGACGCUGAUGUGCGAAAGCGUGGGGAUCAAACAGG
Molecule: ribosomal RNA, 766 nt
Filed under: Staphylococcus aureus
Lineage: Bacteria; Bacillati; Bacillota; Bacilli; Caryophanales; Staphylococcaceae
Description: bacterial SSU rRNA
Rfam family: Bacterial small subunit ribosomal RNA
Source: RNAcentral